AUGCUCACUUCAGCAGCACGUAUACUAAAAUUGGAACGAUACAGAGAAUAUUAGCAGGGCCCUUGCGCAGGAUGACAUGCAAAUUCGUGAAGCGUUCCAUAUUUUU
This is a small nuclear RNA of Trichosurus vulpecula (common brushtail), 106 nucleotides long. The record is from RefSeq and is a predicted model, not a curated record. NCBI's taxonomy places the organism in Eukaryota, Metazoa, Chordata, Mammalia, Diprotodontia, Phalangeridae.